Molecule: microRNA precursor, 122 nt
Filed under: Theobroma cacao (cacao)
Lineage: Eukaryota; Viridiplantae; Streptophyta; Magnoliopsida; Malvales; Malvaceae
Description: miR160a stem-loop (tcc-MIR160a)
Gene: tcc-MIR160a
Source: miRBase by way of RNAcentral
ACCUGGGAAUGGGAUUGUUCUGCCUGGCUCCCUGAAUGCCAUCUAAGAAGCUUGUCAAAGAGUGUUGGCUGCCUUCUUACAUGGCAUGAGGGGAGUCAUGCAGGCUUAACAAUCCCAAGUUA